CGAGGCAUAUUUGCAGGGAUU
Molecule: microRNA, 21 nt
Filed under: Medicago truncatula (barrel medic)
Lineage: Eukaryota; Viridiplantae; Streptophyta; Magnoliopsida; Fabales; Fabaceae
Description: mtr-miR2675
Source: miRBase by way of RNAcentral